This 472-nucleotide ribosomal RNA is filed under the name uncultured bacterium. RNAcentral's name for it is "partial 16S ribosomal RNA". It matches the Rfam family "Bacterial small subunit ribosomal RNA", at positions 28 to 507 of the family's 1533-position model. The record is from RNAcentral.
GACGAACGCUGGCGGCGUGCUUAACACAUGCAAGUCGAACGCUGAAGCUUGGUGCUUGCACUGGGUGGAUGAGUGGCGAACGGGUGAGUAAUACGUGAGUAACCUGCCCUUGACUCUGGGAUAAGCCUGGGAAACUGGGUCUAAUACUGGAUACGACAUGCCACUGCAUGGUGGUGUGUGGAAAGGGUUUUACUGGUUUUGGAUGGGCUCACGGCCUAUCAGCUUGUUGGUGGGGUAAUGGCCUACCAAGGCGACGACGGGUAGCCGGCCUGAGAGGGUGACCGGCCACACUGGGACUUAGACACGGCCCAGACUCCUACGGGAGGCAGCAGUGGGGAAUAUUGCACAAUGGGCGGAAGCCUGAUGCAGCGACGCCGCGUGAGGGAUGACGGCCUUCGGGUUGUAAACCUCUUUCAGCACGGAAGAAGCGAGAGUGACGGUACGUGCAGAAGAAGCGCCGGCUAACUACGUG